RNAcentral lists this ribosomal RNA (180 nucleotides) under uncultured Glomeromycotina. RNAcentral describes it as "partial small subunit ribosomal RNA". The stretch from base 89 to 180 matches the Rfam family "Eukaryotic small subunit ribosomal RNA", at positions 736 to 830 of the family's 1831-position model. Lineage: Eukaryota; Fungi; Glomeromycota. The record is from RNAcentral.
GGCCUGACCGGGCGGACCGCCAUUUGGUGGAUUCUGCUCAGUUGGGCCUUUCCUUCUGGGGAACCAGUGUGCUCUUAAUUGGGUGCGCUGGGGAUCCAGAACUGUUACCUUGAAAAAAUUAGAGUGUUUAAAGCAGGCAUAUGCUUGAAUACAUUAGCAUGGAAUAAUAGAAUAGGACUU